RNAcentral lists this ribosomal RNA (1809 nucleotides) under Ceratomyxa sp. 2 LFR-2017. RNAcentral describes it as "SSU rRNA". It matches the Rfam family "Eukaryotic small subunit ribosomal RNA". Lineage: Eukaryota; Metazoa; Cnidaria; Myxozoa; Bivalvulida; Ceratomyxidae. The record is from RNAcentral.
UCUGGUUGAUCCUGCCAGUGGUCAUAUGCUCGUCUCAAAGACUAAGCCAUGCAUGUCUAUGUUCAUAACUAUAUAGUUGAAACUGCGAAUAGCUCAGUAAAUCAGUUAUAGUCUAUUCAAUCAUCAAAGCCCAUGGAUAACUGUGGUAAAUCUACAGCUAAUACAUAUAAAACCCGGUCUGACCGGUUCAUUUAUUAGCCACCGAUACCACCUCAUUAACUGAGGUAGCAGGUGAAUCUAAAUAACUGUGAUUAUCGCAUAACGCAAGUUGGCGAUAGUUUGAUUGAAUUUCUGCCCUAUCAUCUAGUUGGUAAGGUAGUGGCUUACCAAGGAAGUGACGGGUAACGGGGAAUCAGGGUUCGAUUCCGGAGAGGGAGCCUUAGAAACAGCUACCACAUCCAAGGAAGGCAGCAGGCGCGCAAAUUACCCAAUCCAGACACUGGGAGGUAGUGACGAGAAAUACUGGGGGUGCCCCAAGUGGGUACCAUCCGGAAUGAACGUAACACAAAAAAUUCGAUGAGGAUCUACUGGAGGGCAAGUCUGGUGCCAGCAGCCGCGGUAAUUCCAGCUCCAGUAGUGUAUAUCAACAUUGUUGCGCUUAAAACGCUCGUAGUUGGAUUACAGAGUGUCAAACACGACCCUUUUAUUAAGGAAUUGUGGUCUACAGUCGUGGGCCUGUCAACUGACGGCCUUGAUAGUAGAUGACGCUCUUUUGUCGCAUCGACUUUGACUGGCAACUUUAGUGGGGUCGGCCAAACGUUGAUGGAGUGUGCCUUGAAUAAAACAUGGUGCUCAAAGCAGGCGAAAGCUCGAGUGUAAUAGCAUGGAACGAAUAAUAGAUCUACAGCCACUUGGUGGUUGGAUGGUUCAUUUAGUAUUGGUGGUGAACCGGGUCUCAAUGGUUAAAAGGGACAUCUGAGGGCACUAGUACUUUGUGGCGAGAGGUGAAAUUUUUAGACCCACAAACGACUAACUACUGCGAAGGCAUUUGCCAAGAAUGUUUUCAUUAAUCAAGAACGAAGGUCAGAGGAUCGAAGACGAUCAGAUACCGUCCUAGUUUUGACAGAAAACUAUGCCAGCAUAGGCUGAGGGCGACCACCCUUACCCAGGGAAGAGUCACCUUGGUCCUUAAGGGAAACUUAGCUUUCGGGCUGCUGGGAGAAUAUUGCUGCAAGGCUGAAAUUUAAAGAAAUUGACGGAGAGGCACCACCAGGAGUGGAGCUUGCGGCUUAAUUUGACUCAACACGGGGAACCUCACCAGGUCCAGACAUUGGGAGGAUUGACAGACUGGUAGAUCUUUCAUGAUUCAGUGAUUGGUGGUGCAUGGCCGUUCUUAGUUGGUGGAGUGAUCUGUCAGGUCUAUUCCGGUAACGAGCGAGACCACGGCCUUUUCAGUUACAGCGGUCAUUGUCUAUACAAUGGUUGCUAACUAGAGGGACAGCCGGUGAAAAGCCGGAGGAAGCGUGGCAAUAACAGGUCUGUGAUGCCCUUCGAUGUCCUGGGCUGCACGCGUGCUACAAUGGCAACAGUAGAGAGAUGCUACCUCGAGAGAGGUCGGCAAACCUGCUAAUAGUUGUCGUGAUAGGGAUUGAGCCUUGCAAUUAUUGCUCAUGAAAUAGGAAUUCCUCGUAAGCACGAGUCAUCAGCUUGUGUUGAAUACGUCUCUGCCUCUUGUACACACCGCCCGUCGCUACUACCGAUUGAAUUGCUUCCAAAGCUGGCCGGACCGGACUUGGCUCUUGCCGAGCUGGGAGGGCCGACGAUGGAUGUCAUUUARAGGAAGUAAAAGUCGUAACAAGGUUUCCGUAG